UAAAGAUUAACAAAUAUAAUCAAACAUCAAUCAAAUUCAAUCAAAAUUUUAAAAGAAUUAUAUAAGAAGCACAAAGUAUUCCUAGAAACCUUUUAAAGAAUCAAAAAGAAAUAACAUAGAAAUUUAAAAAUAUACUAGAAUAAAAACCUUAAUAAAAUAUUAAAAUAGAAACCUUAAUUAAACCUUAAUCAAAAUCUAAUCAAAUUCUAAAAAAAUCUUAAUUAAAUCCUAAUCAAAUCCUAAACAAAUCCUAAACAAAUCCUAGUCAAAUUUUAAACAAAUUCUAGUCAAAUCCUAAAUAAAUCCUAACCAAAUCCUAACCAAAU
This 326-nucleotide long non-coding RNA is filed under the name Physcomitrium patens. Its description in RNAcentral is "long non-coding RNA (PPAT_LNC002199)". Lineage: Eukaryota; Viridiplantae; Streptophyta; Bryopsida; Funariales; Funariaceae. The record is from RNAcentral.